RNAcentral lists this ribosomal RNA (126 nucleotides) under Babesia gibsoni. RNAcentral's name for it is "partial small subunit ribosomal RNA". It matches the Rfam family "Eukaryotic small subunit ribosomal RNA", at positions 1015 to 1141 of the family's 1831-position model. Lineage: Eukaryota; Apicomplexa; Aconoidasida; Piroplasmida; Babesiidae. The record is from RNAcentral.
CCGUCGUAGUCCUAACCAUAAACCAUUCCGCCGUGGUAUGGGAGGUCACCACUGUUCCACAUCGUCAUCAACUCCACAGAAAUCAAUGUCUUGGGGAUCGAGGGGGAGUAUGGUCGCAAGGCUGAA